This 638-nucleotide ribosomal RNA is filed under the name Pseudomonas sp. MYb100. RNAcentral describes it as "bacterial SSU rRNA". It matches the Rfam family "Bacterial small subunit ribosomal RNA", at positions 57 to 692 of the family's 1533-position model. Lineage: Bacteria; Pseudomonadati; Pseudomonadota; Gammaproteobacteria; Pseudomonadales; Pseudomonadaceae. The record is from RNAcentral.
GCAGUCGAGCGGUAGAGAGAGCUUGCUUCUCUUGAGAGCGGCGGACGGGUGAGUAAUGCCUAGGAAUCUGCCUGGUAGUGGGGGAUAACGUUCGGAAACGGACGCUAAUACCGCAUACGUCCUACGGGAGAAAGCAGGGGACCUUCGGGCCUUGCGCUAUCAGAUGAGCCUAGGUCGGAUUAGCUAGUUGGUGGGGUAAUGGCUCACCAAGGCGACGAUCCGUAACUGGUCUGAGAGGAUGAUCAGUCACACUGGAACUGAGACACGGUCCAGACUCCUACGGGAGGCAGCAGUGGGGAAUAUUGGACAAUGGGCGAAAGCCUGAUCCAGCCAUGCCGCGUGUGUGAAGAAGGUCUUCGGAUUGUAAAGCACUUUAAGUUGGGAGGAAGGGCAGUUGCCUAAUACGUAACUGUUUUGACGUUACCGACAGAAUAAGCACCGGCUAACUCUGUGCCAGCAGCCGCGGUAAUACAGAGGGUGCAAGCGUUAAUCGGAAUUACUGGGCGUAAAGCGCGCGUAGGUGGUUUGUUAAGUUGGAUGUGAAAUCCCCGGGCUCAACCUGGGAACUGCAUUCAAAACUGACUGACUAGAGUAUGGUAGAGGGUGGUGGAAUUUCCUGUGUAGCGGUGAAAUGCGUA